Molecule: long non-coding RNA, 502 nt
Organism: Labeo rohita (rohu)
Lineage: Eukaryota; Metazoa; Chordata; Actinopteri; Cypriniformes; Cyprinidae
Exons: 3
Source: RefSeq, a predicted model, not a curated record
AGCUGCAAUGCAGCAAAACGCCAAACUUUUGCACGUGUUUGCUUUUCUGAAUGGAAGUCAAUCGGGCGAAAAGUGGUAAUGACUGGGAGAAUCUCCUCUCCACGGCACACUAUACUACGAUUAUGGAGAAGAGAAGAAAGAUGCCCGAUUAAACACAGCAAACGAGCGAUUAAGCGAUGCGGCUGCUACCACGAGUACACAAAGCGAUGUGCCAUGAGUGUCUACUAGAGACCAGCAACUCACGGAUUCGAUGGAAAAAGAAGAGUCAGCCGCUCCUGUCUUGUGCUCUACAGUGUGGUCCACUUGUCUUUGCACCCUGGGAAGGGCAAUGCUGUCACAAGGCAGUUUUUUUUUCACCACUGAUGGGAAUAAAUAUACUGCCAGACAGGAAGUGAGCAGAAGAUUAGGACAGUGGUGCAGAAUGAUGAUCAUCAACCCUGCAUGUCAAUGUGAGAGGGUCAGUGGCUUGUUUGCCACCACCCACAUGCCCUGGGGUAAUGGU